UACGUAGGGUGCAAGCGUUGUCCGGAAUCAUUGGGCGUAAAGCGCGUGUAGGCGGUUCGGUAAGUCCGCUGUGAAAGUCGGGGGCUCAACCCUCGAAUGCCGGUGGAUACUGUCGGACUAGAGUACGGAAGAGGCGAGUGGAAUUCCUGGUGUAGCGGUGAAAUGCGCAGAUAUCAGGAGGAACACCAAUUGCGAAGGCAGCUCGCUGGGACGUUACUGACGCUGAGACGCGAAAGCGUGGGGAGCAAACAGG
This 253-nucleotide ribosomal RNA is filed under the name uncultured bacterium. RNAcentral's name for it is "partial 16S ribosomal RNA". It matches the Rfam family "Bacterial small subunit ribosomal RNA", at positions 524 to 776 of the family's 1533-position model. The record is from RNAcentral.